CCACCAUGCCAGGCUAAUUUUUGUAUUUUUAGUAGAGACAGGUUUUCACCAUGUUGGCCAGGCUGGUCUCGAACUUCUGACCUCAGGUGAUGCGCCCGCCUCAGCCUCCGAAAGUGCUGGGACUAUAGGCGUGAGGCACCGCACCAGGCCCUCUUUAAAUUUUUUUAGAGACAGUGACUUGCCCUGUUGCACAGGCUGGAGGAUACAGUGGUGCAGUCUUGGCUCACUGCAGCCUCGAUCUCCCAGGUUAAGGAAUCCUCUCACCUAGGCCUCCAAAGUAGCUGGUACUACAAGUGUGUGUCACCACGCAUGGCUAACUUAAAGUUUUUUUUUGUAGAGAUGGUGUCAAUAUGUUGCCCUGACUGGUCUCAAACGCCUGGGCUCAGCCAAUCCUCCUUCCUUGACCUCCUGAAAUGCUGGGAUUGCAGGCAUGAGCCACUGUGCCUGGCCAAUGGUCUUUGAGGAUGAAGAAUUUUAGCCAGAACCUGAAGGAUAUAUCUGGCUCUAUUUAGAUUUGAAAAUACAUAAUGUCUCAAGAAAAGCAAAACAAAACGCCUCACUGAAGGAAACAGGGUUAGUGUGAUAUAUGGGUGAUUUUUUUUUUUCCUUUUCUCCUAAAGACUUUCAUUCAUAGGAUUGUCCUUGAUUCUCGCCCAUCAGCAAACACUGGUAGGCUCCACCUUCAAGACUUAUCCAGAAUCAGACCACCUCACCUCAUCUACUGCAGCCUCCCUGGGCAGGGCCUGGCCUCCUUCAGUCUGUUCUCACCACACAGCCACCAAAGGGAUCCUUUUAUUUUGAUUGAUUGAUUGAUUGAUUGAUAUGGGGUGUGACUCUGUCAGCAGGCGGGAGUGCAAUGGCACGAUCUCACCUCACUGCAAUCUCUGCCUCCUGGACUCAAGCAGUCCUCCCACCGCUGUCUCCCGAGUAGCUGGGACCACAGGUGCACGCCACCACACCCAGUUAACCUUUUUGUAUUUUUAGUAGAGAUGGGGUUUCACCAUUUUGCCCAGGAUGGUCUCAAACUCUUAAGCUCAAGCAGUCUACCCACCUCAGCUUCUCACAGUGCUGGGAUUACAGGUAUGGGUCACCACGCCCAGCGCCUUUUAAAAGCACGGUUGGAUCAUAGCAUUUAUCUGCUCAUAACAAUGGCUUUUGCUUCCCUGCUCACUCAAAAGAAAUUCCUUCUUCACUGCAGAACUGGCCCUCCUACCACAGGAUGUUUAGGGUCCCUGGCUGCAACCCCCAAAGGUCCUAAUGGUGCUGGUCGUGGGGGAAUCCGCACCAUUGUGACAACUGAAUAUGCCCACAUGAUGCCCAAGGUUUCAGUCCUGGCCACACCCCUUCCACCGUGUCACCGUGCUGGGUUGGUUUCUUCAUCUAAAAAAUGGCGAUGGGGAUAACAAACUUGAAAAAGGGUCAUGUGAGUGAGGUGUCCAGCAUUGGGGGGUGUCCGGCAUCGGGGGGUGUCCAUCAUCGGGGGGUGUCCAUCAUCGGGGGGUGUCCGGCAUCGGGGGGUGUCCAUCAUCGGGGAGCGUCCGGCAUCGGGGGGUGUCCGGCAUCGGGGAGGCGUCCGGCAUCGGGGGGUGUCCGGCAUCGGGGGGGGGCCGGCAUCGGGGGGUGUCCAUCAUCGGGGGGUGUCCGGCAUCGGGGGGUGUCCGGCAUCGGGGAGGUGUCCGGCAUCAGGGGGUGUCCAUCAUCGGGGGGUGUCCGGCAUCGGGGGGUGUCCGGCAUCGGGGGGUGUCCAUCAUCGGGGGGUGUCCGGCAUCGGGGGGUGUCCGGCAUCGGGGAGGUGUCCGGCAUCGGGGAGGUGUCCGGCAUCGGGGGAGUGUCCAUCAUCGGGGGGUGUCCGGCAUCGGGGAGGUGUCCGGCAUCGGGGAGGUGUCCGGCAUCGGGGGGUGUCUGGCAUCGGGGGGUGUCCAUCAUCGGUGGGUGUCCGGCAUCGGGGAGGUGUCCGGCAUCGGGGGGUGUCCGGCAUCGGGGGGUGUCCAUCAUCGGGGGGUGUCCGGCAUCGGGGGGUGUCUGGCAUCGGGGGGUGUCCGGCAUCGGGAGUACUUAAUAAAGGGUCCCCAUUGAUACCAGCUGAGGCAUAAGCAAACUCCACUGCUCCUAUUAUCUGCACCUGAAGAUUUGCACCUUGCGUGUAUGUGGAUCCUUUUCCAAUUUCUUCUGUAUUAAACAUUCUUUCCUGUAUCAGAAAGUAAGGUUAUGGGUUGGAGCUAAAAAUCUGCCCUUCGAUCCGUCCCCCCGAUAGAGUGCUUUGCUGGCCAUAAGGAUGGGCUGCAGACAGCAGCUCCCUUUCUUUCACUGCCGCCCCCAGCUCCUCUCUUUCACUGCAGGCUGUGUGAAUCAGGCUCCAACAUUUCCACUGUGUGAUCCUAGAUCAGUGUGUGAACCUCCCAGAGUUUCCGUCUCUGCAGAUGGAUGUGCUGACAGCCCCUGCCAUAGGGCUGAGCUGAAGGGCAAAUGAGACAGUGAGGGCAAAGGGAGCCUGGUGCCAGGCAUGUGCCAGGCAUUCAGCAGUGGCUAGCCAUGGUAGCCUGUCCCUAAAGUCCUGGGCACCACGUCCCCCCCCCCUCAGUUCCUUCUGGCUUUACUUCAGGAGCUGGAUUCCCUCCUCCUGCCAGAAAAAUCCAGCUCAUACUGCCUAAAGCACAAAUUCUCACACCAACCACUAGGUUCUGCCAGGUCCUGGCCAGUCCCAACACCAUGAAGCAGGAGGGCAGGCGAAUUUGAGCAGAGAUUGUUUCUGUUUGGCAUCAGCCUCUGCCAAUGCCCAGGAAAGCUGGAAUGCUCUCCUGCAAGGGUGACAUUUCCCCACACGCUAAACAUUGUCUUUUUUUUUUGAGACGGAGUCUUGCUCUGUCACCCAGGCUGGAGUG
Macaca mulatta (Rhesus monkey) is the source of this 2882-nucleotide long non-coding RNA. Lineage: Eukaryota; Metazoa; Chordata; Mammalia; Primates; Cercopithecidae. The record is from Ensembl.